RNAcentral lists this long non-coding RNA (1010 nucleotides) under Numida meleagris (helmeted guineafowl). RNAcentral describes it as "lncRNA (ENSNMEG00000004417.1)". The record is from RNAcentral. Lineage: Eukaryota; Metazoa; Chordata; Aves; Galliformes; Numididae.
ACCGAGAAGAACGGCUGCUUUUCAACAGAGGUCUUGAUGUCUUCCUUCAACCUGAGCAACUACAGACUGCAGAAGGAAUUCCAAGUGAAGGCAUCGCUGGUGGAGGAGGGGACAGGUAGGAGUGCUGGUGGGAGUGUUUUUGCAUUCAUCCCUGUGUGCACCCAAAUGCACACAGCAUGGAGGCAUCGGUCUCUCCAGGGAAGCCCGUGAGUAGUGUUGUGAUUUAGAGGUACAGGUGUGCAGGAAUCAGGCUCAGGCUAAGCUGUGCCCUGUGUCGCCAAGACACACUCAUCUCCCCGCUCCUUCUCCACAGGGGUGGAGAUGAACAACACCAAGACCUGCAGAAUUUUGCACAAAAUCUUCACGGUCACCUUUGAAAACACUGAUGACUUCUACAAGCGUGGGCUGCCCUACACUGGGACGGUAAUGGGGGUUCCUGGCAGCCCCACUCCCCACCCCUGCCCUGUGCCUUCAGCCCAAGGCAUGCCUCUCGCCUUUCCUCUCUGCAGAUGCAGCUGAAGGGAGCAGAUGGCUCUGCCCUGGAGGGGCAGCAGCUGGUGCUCAUCGUUAACAAUGAGAAAGAACACAGCUUCCUGACGGACAAAUCUGGGAGAGCCUCCUUUGAGCUGGACACCUCUGGCUGGCGUAACAGAGUCACCCUGACUGGCAAAGUCAACACGUCGGCUCACAGCCAGGAUGGUGCCUCAUUACCCACCUUCAACGCAGCUUAUUUGAACCUCAGCCCCUUCUUUUCGAAGAGCCAGAGCUUCCUGCAUAUCCGCCGGCUGGAGGGCAAGCUGUCCUGCAGCCAGCCCAAGCAGCUCCACGUGGAUUAUACCCUCAACAAGGAGGCUCUGGGGAGCGAGCUGCAGAGCCUGGACGUUGUCUUCCUGGUGAGUCUUCAUCUGGGGAGGAAGGGCAGCAGGUGUAACGGCAUGGAUUCCUUAUCUACACACAAGUGCAUGGCUGUGUCCUGGAGAGUCAGGCUAUGGUUGCUCUCCGUUGGCUAG